RNAcentral lists this ribosomal RNA (501 nucleotides) under uncultured bacterium. RNAcentral describes it as "bacterial SSU rRNA". It matches the Rfam family "Bacterial small subunit ribosomal RNA", at positions 29 to 517 of the family's 1533-position model. The record is from RNAcentral.
AGUGAACGCUGGCGGCAGGCCUAAUACAUGCAAGUCGAACGGCAGCACAGCAGAGCUUGCUCUGUGGGUGGCGAGUGGCGGACGGGUGAGGAAUACAUGGGAAUCUGCCCAGUCGUGGGGGAUAACGUAGGGAAACUUACGCUAAUACCGCAUGCGCCCUUCGGGGGAAAGCCGGGGACCUUCGGGCCUGGCGCGAUUGGAUGAGCCCAUGUCGGAUUAGCUAGUUGGCGGGGUAAUGGCCCACCAAGGCGACGAUCCGUAGCUGGUCUGAGAGGAUGAUCAGCCACACUGGAACUGAGACACGGUCCAGACUCCUACGGGAGGCAGCAGUAGGGAAUAUUGGACAAUGGGCGCAAGCCUGAUCCAGCCAUGCCGCGUGAGUGAAGAAGGCCCUCGGGUUGUAAAGCUCUUUUGUCCGGAAAGAAAAGCGCCGGGUUAAUACCCUGGUGUCCUGACGGUACCGGAAGAAUAAGCACCGGCUUAACUUCGUGCCAGCAGCCG